This 314-nucleotide ribosomal RNA is filed under the name uncultured bacterium. RNAcentral describes it as "bacterial SSU rRNA". It matches the Rfam family "Bacterial small subunit ribosomal RNA", at positions 127 to 456 of the family's 1533-position model. The record is from RNAcentral.
UGCCUUGUGGUUCAGGACAACAUUGGGAAACCGAUGCUAAUACUGGAUAAGCCCUUACGUGGAAAGUUUUAAUGCCAUAAGAUGAGCCCGCAUUUGAUUAGUUAGUUGGUGAGGUAAUGGCUCACCAAGACAAUGAUCAAUAGCUGAUCUGAGAGGAUGAUCAGCCACACUGGGACUGAGACACGGCCCAGACUCCUACGGGAGGCAGCAGUGGGGAAUCUUGCACAAUGGAGGAAACUCUGAUGCAGCGAUGCCGUUGUGAGUGAAGAAGGCCUUUGGGUUGUAAGGCUCUUUUGUAGGGGAAGAUAAUGACU